Chanos chanos (milkfish) is the source of this 354-nucleotide non-coding RNA. The record is from the annotation of a RefSeq genome assembly. Lineage: Eukaryota; Metazoa; Chordata; Actinopteri; Gonorynchiformes; Chanidae.
AUGUUCUCCUCCUCUCUGCUACUGCUGCUGCUAGUAGAUGUAAACAGUGUCCAGUGUCAGGUUUUCACACAGUCUGAGCAAUCAGCGGUUGUGUCUCCAGGUGGAACCCAGAAACUCACCUGUGCCUGCAGUGGAUUUGCUCUGUCAAGCUACAGGAUGCACUGGGUCCGUCUGGCUCCCGGAAAAGGACUGGAAUGGAUCAUGCACCACUACUCAGAGUCUGAUAAAGGAGCGGCCCAGUCAGUGCAGGGUCAGUUCACAGCAUCCAAGGACAGCUCUAAUUUCUACCUUCAUAUGAACCAACUGAAGACUGACGACACAGCAGUUUAUUACUGUGCUAGAGAUUCACUGUGA